GACAAGGUGGCCGAGUGGUUAAGGCGAUGGACUGCUAAUCCAUUGCGGUCUCCGCGCGCAGGUUCGAAUCCUGCCCUUGUCG
This is a non-coding RNA of Sitodiplosis mosellana (orange wheat blossom midge), 82 nucleotides long. The record is from the annotation of a RefSeq genome assembly. Lineage: Eukaryota; Metazoa; Arthropoda; Insecta; Diptera; Cecidomyiidae.